Molecule: long non-coding RNA, 239 nt
Filed under: Gallus gallus (chicken)
Lineage: Eukaryota; Metazoa; Chordata; Aves; Galliformes; Phasianidae
Source: RNAcentral
GUUUGGUUCAAGCCAUCGAGGUGAAUCUACUGAAGUUUCAUUUUGCUGUAAACCAAAAUAUUCCUUUUCUGUCACACCCAACUGACUAUAGGUCAUAUCCAACAAAAUCUGACCAGUGUCUUGUUUAUUGACUUUGAAGCUUUGUAUUGAGCCAUCCAAAAAGUGAACGUUACAGGUUAUCUCUGAUCGGGUUUUCUCUUUUGGUAGUUCUGAUGCUCGUAUGUUAUUUAUCCUCCCAC